Molecule: ribosomal RNA, 244 nt
Filed under: uncultured bacterium
Lineage: Bacteria
Description: partial small subunit ribosomal RNA
Rfam family: Bacterial small subunit ribosomal RNA
Source: RNAcentral
AGAAUCAACGCUGGCGGCGUGCCUAACACAUGCAAGUCGAACGAGAAAGUGGAGCAAUCCAUGAGUACAGUGGCGCACGGGUGAGUAACACGUGACUAACCUACCCUCGAGUGGGGAAUAACCUCGGGAAACCGGGCUAAUACCGCAUAACAUCCACGGAUCAAAUGCGUAAGCAGCUUGAGGAGGGGGUCGCGGCUGAUUAGCUAGUUGGCGGGGUAAUGGCCCACCAAGGCAGUGAUCAGUA